Molecule: long non-coding RNA, 1905 nt
Filed under: Linum usitatissimum (flax)
Lineage: Eukaryota; Viridiplantae; Streptophyta; Magnoliopsida; Malpighiales; Linaceae
Description: long non-coding RNA (LUSI_LNC004530)
Source: RNAcentral
GAUCCCGCAUCCAUAGCAACCUCUUUCUCGCUUGAAAUCACAACCUCCUACACGAGGGACUCUCGACGAACGUUCGACGGUGGCCGAUUUCAAACCUUCGAUCGAUUGUCCAUCUCUUCCUAAGUUAGGUAAGGGAUUGUUUUUCCCUAUACAAUGGAUUUCACUUCGUAGGGAUUGUAUCUGAACCCAUUCGUGUUUGGAUUGAUGCCUCGACGUCGGCGAAGUUGUGAACGCUUUGGAUUUUGUGUUUCGUAGAGAUUCCGAGCCUCCAAACUAGUGGGAAAGCUUCGUAUUAAGGUUAGAAACCGAUUCAUAACACUUAAAUUGAGUUCCGGUUUGAUUUUAUUACCUUGCCGAAAUCUGGGAUUCGCUCGCCGGAAUCUGGAAAUUUUCCGGCGAGUAUGAUGAUGCCUGGGUGGAAGACGAUGAUUGAACCAAAACGGUCCUGACCCGUUUCGGUUAAACCGGUUCGAGUUUGGUGCAUAAUUUUGGAAUCGAUCCCUGAACUUUAGACAAAAUGUGAAGUCAGUCAUUGUAAUAGCUAGAAACUCUCUACAGUCCUUUCCUUAGGCCUCCGUAGUCUGAAACUUUUAGAUCUUGAUAGUUUCGGCCUAAUUCACUUCAGUAGUUUUACAAAUCAGCCCUCUUAGCUACGAAUCCUAUCAUUUGGUUCAUUCGACCUUAUAAUCGAUCUUAAUUAAAUUGUGAAACCAAUAACGUUGCUAAUCGAUAUUGAUAAUAUUAAUAUCCUAGUUUUCAUUAAGAUUAGAUAAAUAUUUAGAAUUAUGACUUAAUAAUAGAAUUGGAAAUUGCUUAGUUCAAUUAAGAAUUUAGUUUUCCUUUCUCAUAGAAUAAUUGAAAACUUCUAUCAUCUUAUGGAUAAUAAAAGCCUUAUAUCUAAUUGCCCUCCUUAGAUGUCAUAAUUAAGAUAGCUCUUCUUAAGUUAGGUUCUUACUCCUAUCUCAAUUUUUUUUUGGUCGAAAUGAUUCAUCUUCCCGUCACUUCACAUUUAAAAUGAGAAGUGAUUUCUUUGAUUAUUUCAGUUUCUCAACCUAAUCUUUAUUCUCGUCUUUAGGCUCUUAAAGGCGAUCCAGUUCUAGUGCCUUUCUCAUUUCUUUUCCUCCAUCAGACCUUCACCGCUUGAUUUCCAGGUGGAUUGGUUUAAGGGGGUAAAUUUUUGUUGUGUAUUUAAAUUACGUAUGCAAUGAUUAAUGAACUCCACAUGAUUCAUGAUUAUCCUAAUAAUUAAAUAAUAUUAAGCUUCAUAUGAUCAAAUAGUACACUCAUCCCUAACUAUACCAUCGCCCCUAUUAUGAUUUACGGGUCGAGUUUUGCCCCAUUAUGAUUUAUGGGCCGAAUUUUGGCCUUUAUGAUUUAUGAUACCGUCUGAUGGAUACGUAAUCCCAGACCUCUAUGAUUCUAGCGCUAGGGCGAUGGGCUAGUUAGCGGAGUUAGGAGGCCCCUAGAUAAGAAUAUGAUUAGAAGUAUCUAUGACUUCUUCUGAAUAGAUACAAAGACCCACGAUAUACUUAAAGCCUAUAAAUAGCAUUCCAUGAUUAUGAAUAACUCUUAAUAACAAAACCUUAAGAUUAUGAUAAUGAACACUCAAGACUGACCUCGAGCCACCCACCAGGUCAUGCAGGAGGAGCUAAAGAUCGGCCAGCUUUAGGAGAGUGCGAUUGAUGCCCAUCAUGUCGUAGGACUCAGAGUGAGUGACGAGCCUAGGAGGUCGUGUCGUAGGACUCAAAGUGAGUGACGAGCCUAGGAGGUCGAGUAUUUGCAGUUUUAUGGAGUUAGACUUGAGACUAUUUCUUUCAGACUUUUAUUGUUGGAUUUUACUGUUGGGCGCUCACUUGUUAGGGUUUUAUUUCAUCUUUGACUAUUAUGAGUUUUGUUAGCGAUUAU